GACGAACGCUGGCGGCGUGCUUAACACAUGCAAGUCGAACGGAAAGACCCUGCUUUUGUGGGGUGCUCGAGUGGCGAACGGGUGAGUAACACGUGAGUAACCUGCCCUUGACUUUGGGAUAACUUCAGGAAACUGGGGCUAAUACCGGAUAGGAGCUCCUGCUGCAUGGUGGGGGUUGGAAAGUUUCGGCGGUUGGGGAUGGACUCGCGGCUUAUCAGCUUGUUGGUGGGGUAGUGGCUUACCAAGGCUUUGACGGGUAGCCGGCCUGAGAGGGUGACCGGCCACAGUGGGACUGAGAUACGGCCCAGACUCCUACGGGAGGCAGCAGUGGGGAAUAUUGCACAAUGGGCGGAAGCCUGAUGCAGCAACGCCGCGUGCGGGAUGACGGCCUUCGGGUUGUAAACCGCUUUCGCCUGUGACGAAGCGUGAGUGACGGUAAUGGGUAAAGAAGCACCGGCUAACUACGUG
RNAcentral lists this ribosomal RNA (468 nucleotides) under uncultured bacterium. RNAcentral describes it as "partial 16S ribosomal RNA". It matches the Rfam family "Bacterial small subunit ribosomal RNA", at positions 28 to 507 of the family's 1533-position model. The record is from RNAcentral.